GAUGAACGCUGGCGGCGUGCUUAACACAUGCAAGUCGAACGGAAAGGCCCUGCUUUUGUGGGGUGCUCGAGUGGCGAACGGGUGAGUAACACGUGAGUAACCUGCCCUUGACUUUGGGAUAACUUCAGGAAACUGGGGCUAAUACCGGAUAGGAGCUCCUGCUGCAUGGUGGGGGUUGGAAAGUUUCGGCGGUUGGGGAUGGACUCGCGGCUUAUCAGCUUGUUGGUGGGGUAGUGGCUUACCAAGGCUUUGACGGGUAGCCGGCCUGGGAGGGUGACCGGCCACAUUGGGACUGGGAUACGGCCCAGGCUCCUACGGGAGGCAGCAGUGGGGAAUAUUGCACGAUGGGCGGAGGCCUGAUGCAGCAACGCCGCGUGCGGGAUGACGGCCUUCGGGUUGGAAACCGCUUUCGCCUGUGACGAAGCGUGAGUGACGGUAAUGGGUAAAGAAGCACCGGCUAACUACGU
RNAcentral lists this ribosomal RNA (467 nucleotides) under uncultured bacterium. RNAcentral's name for it is "partial 16S ribosomal RNA". It matches the Rfam family "Bacterial small subunit ribosomal RNA", at positions 28 to 506 of the family's 1533-position model. The record is from RNAcentral.